RNAcentral lists this ribosomal RNA (245 nucleotides) under uncultured bacterium. Its description in RNAcentral is "partial 16S ribosomal RNA". It matches the Rfam family "Bacterial small subunit ribosomal RNA", at positions 15 to 252 of the family's 1533-position model. The record is from RNAcentral.
GAUCAUGGCUCAGGACGAACGCUGGCGGCGCGCCUAACACAUGCAAGUCGAACGGAGUUAAGAGGAGCUUGCUUUUCUUGACUUAGUGGCGAACGGGUGAGUAACGCGUGAGUAACCUGCCCUGGAGUGGGGACAACAGUUGGAAACGACUGCUAAUACCGCAUAAGCCCACGGAUUCGCAUGGAUCUGCGGGAAAAGGAUUUAUUCGCUUCAGGAUGGACUCGGCGUCCAAUUUAGCUAGUUGG